Non-coding RNA from Nephila pilipes (giant wood spider), 80 nucleotides. The record is from the annotation of a GenBank genome assembly. NCBI's taxonomy places the organism in Eukaryota, Metazoa, Arthropoda, Arachnida, Araneae, Nephilidae.
GUAAUGGUAACCUAGUGGUCAUGGUCGAAGUCUCGAAUAUUUUUGUUGUGUUGUGGGUUCGAAUCCUGACCCACUUUGUA